GGGUCUUUAGCUCAGCAGUAGAGCGGCAGACUUCGGUUCGCAUUCUGAAGAAACCAUCAAAGGGUUGCAUUCUGCAGGUCGCGGGUUCAAUCCCCGUAGGACUCU
RNAcentral lists this transfer RNA (105 nucleotides) under Kalmanozyma brasiliensis GHG001. It matches the Rfam family "tRNA". Rfam says of the family: Transfer RNA (tRNA) molecules are approximately 80 nucleotides in length. Lineage: Eukaryota; Fungi; Basidiomycota; Ustilaginomycetes; Ustilaginales. The record is from Rfam by way of RNAcentral.